AAGAAAAAAAAGAAACGAUUAAGAGGGAAGCACAAUCUCCAAAUACAUAGAAACAAUUACCAAAAGGAAUAAAAGGUGUUUAAUCAUGGUAUGACCAAUUUCCCAACUAUAACAAAGAGUGAUGGCUGCUACAGAAGUAAAUGCUAACAAACAAACCCUAUGAAGCAAAGGUGGGAGCUUUGCGCGACAUAAGUAAUGAGAAUUUUGUGUGUGCAAGAAGCUCAUACCAACUCUACAAAGACCUCUUUUACUACAUGUUUCCUACCUGUAAAACUAACUCUCUCUCUUCUCUUUGUAGAAUGAGAAAUGAAACCAUAGUGUGUGUGCA
RNAcentral lists this unclassified non-coding RNA (328 nucleotides) under Hevea brasiliensis (rubber tree). The record is from RNAcentral. Lineage: Eukaryota; Viridiplantae; Streptophyta; Magnoliopsida; Malpighiales; Euphorbiaceae.